Molecule: ribosomal RNA, 452 nt
Filed under: Callitridiplosis jana
Lineage: Eukaryota; Metazoa; Arthropoda; Insecta; Diptera; Cecidomyiidae
Description: partial large subunit ribosomal RNA
Rfam family: Eukaryotic large subunit ribosomal RNA
Source: RNAcentral
CGAAACCGAUAGCGAACAAGUACCGUGAGGGAAAGUUGAAAAGUACUCUGAAUAGAGAGUUAAAUAGUACGUGAAACCGCUUAGGGGUUAAGCCCGAUGAACCCGAAUAUCUGAUGUGAGAAAUUCAAUACUGUUUAUUCAACGGAUAGUAUGCACUUUUCUCAUAGUAAGACAUUGUAAUCCAUUGAUGCUAUAUCUCUUUCAUUUACGGGAGAGAUGAUUUAACAUACGGACAAGAUGUAUAUGAUUAUUCUAUCAGUGAUGUGUUAACAUGUCAUAUGAAUAAGAUCGUUUUGUACCUGUUUAAAUAGUCGAUGGAUUUUAACUGAAUCAUGCUUGCAAUUUAUUUUGCGUUUCGUGUUAUCGACCACUAGUUGGUUGGUAAAAGCAGAAAUGGCAUGCAUUCGAUUAACAAUGCGAUAGAUUUGGGAUACUUUCAGGACCCGUCUUGA